AGCUCCAAUAGCGUAUAUUAAAGUUGUUGCAGUUAAAAGCUCGUAGUUGGAUUUCUGGUCUGUGUCCCGGGUCGGCCCGAUAGGGUCUGUACUAGGAGACGCUGGCCAUCCUGUGAGCAACCUUUUCUGCUAUUAAGUUAGUGGGGAAGUGAGCUCACUCGUUUACUGUGAACAAAUUAGAGUGUUUAAAGCAGGCAAUUGCCUUGAAUACAUUAGCAUGGAAUAAUAAG
Molecule: ribosomal RNA, 230 nt
Filed under: uncultured eukaryote
Lineage: Eukaryota
Description: partial small subunit ribosomal RNA
Rfam family: Eukaryotic small subunit ribosomal RNA
Source: RNAcentral